AUAUUAUAUGCAAAAAUGUCUUCCUUUGUGCUGCCCCUGUGUCUUAGAAAUUCACAGGGAGGAAGGUCUAGGAUAGAGGGUUUGACUUUUCUUUUCUGUUUUUUUUGUAGCAUGAUGUGAUUAAUUUAUUUUAAUUCCCAUGAGUGACCUGGCAUUACUGUGAUGCUAUGCAAGAUUGGAGUGUAGAGUGAGUCACUUCACCAUUGUUCCCUUGUGCUGAAUGUUUGCAACUGUUUUCCAUUUUGCUCAUUCUGAUCUAACCAAACAGACCCCAUCGAUUUGAGGUUGUCAUGCAUGUAAUGCUUGGAUAUGCCCUUAUUGGUAUCUAAAUAUAUGGAUGUUUUUUUUAUCAUUUUCAUCUAUAUAUUUCACUUGACUAGCCAUUAGCGUUGUGGGUUGCUACCGAAUGAACUGUUUUUUAUUUGCAUUGUUUGCCAUUCUCGUGCUUAUUAUUUUUUGUUUUAGUUUGUAGGGGUUGUACACUCCACCGUCUAAAAUAAAUCUAGCCAACAGGUGGUUGAGAGGCAUUUUGUGGUGCCACUAUUUUCUUUCAGGUUUAGGCACUUUGACUCUACUAACUUUAGCCAGGUUUGUAUCAUCAAAUUGCACGUUGCCUUUCAUUGGUGUAUUUGCAAGCUAUAGAGAAUUGUCGAUCAACAUGUUCAAAGUUUUAUCCUCUUAUAUUUUGCUGCCAGUUUCUAUGUUCACUUCAGUAAUGUGUAAUUUGGUGUUCUUUUAUAUCUUCUGUACAAAUGCUAUUCAGUACAAUCUUCAUAUGCACCUAGACUUACAUGGAUAAUCUUGUAUGUAAUUCCCUCUUUUUUAUUGAUGUGUGGUUUUAUCGGUGUGAUUAAUUCCAUCUCUUUUUACUUUUUCAUGUUAGGUACUACAUGUACUUUUUGUGAUGGCAAGGGUAAAUUACUAGCCAAUUUUGGUACUAGCCAAAUCAAAGAUUUAUGUCCUAAAAAGGAUUUGCUCGGCUUCAUGCAAUUGAAUUGUUAUCGCAUAUUUACGAGCAAGCUCAUAUUUAUCUCUCCAUGAUCUCUUAACCGAGAGAAAAGGGCUUACUGCUCCCUUUUAAACUCAUAUAUUUAUUGAUAAGUGCUGCAGUUUCUGUAUCUAUUUCUUGCGGUUUAUGUAUCUAUUUCUCUCUAGAGCUAGCUGAGUGGUCAACACCGAGGAAGAUGGGGAAGACAGAGCCAGCGAGGAAGAUGGCUCAGCCCUGCCGACAAUGCCCACCGGCCACUUCCUUCGGUCGCCAUCGUAGGAGGGGCGCACCAUCGAGGAGCAGCAGGGGAGGAGAUGAGGAUACACCGCUGGACUCCCUCUUCACUUUAUGGUCGCAUCUUCCCUAUGAGCUCCUUCUUCCAUUCCCUUGCUUCCCUACCGUGCUCCACCUGUGUACUUUUGAUUUGGUUGUGAAAUUGUACUCCAUGGUGCUUGCAAGUCUGUGUACAAUUUAUUCCAAUGCUCGACUUGGUGUCCGUCUCAACAAAACCUAACAUGUCGGUGCGAAAUUCUGCUAGCCAGCUUGACCAUUUGCUUUGGAAGGAGUAAUUCAACUCAGAAAGGACAAAUGAUUUGUGACUAUUUUUGUUUUUCUUACAAUCUCUUUAGGUCGAUCAUUCUUUUCUUUUCCCUGUCACUUUUUCUUUGCUUUGGUAGUGUAUUUGGGUUAUUUCUUUCUCUGGAGCUUGGGCAUAUUGGUUGUCUUGUUGACUCUUUUACUAGCAAUCUUUCCUUUUCAGUAUAUGGGAGAGAUUACUAGCUCACACAUAUAGUUUAGUUAUUAAGUUUCUAAAUAAGUUCAGCCUCAGGUACAUAUUUUGUAUCUAUUGCUUAUUUAAUCCAUUGAGAUCUAUUCUCUCCGGUUCAUACAGUAUGUUUGCAUUUAACUUGGAAAUUGCAUGCUUACUUCAAAAUUGGAAUGUGACUUUUGCUUGCUGAUAGAUUCAGUUAUGGUGUGGUUGCCUACUACUCAAAAUUAUUUUAUAUAGCAUCGUAAAUUUCAGGGACCGUAUCACAACAGAUCAUUGGCAUUGUAGGUUCAGUGGACAUGUAUGCUUAAUAUCCUCUCACUGGACAAGAUUGGAUUUUAGUGUAUACAAGUCCUCCUCUCAGCUGCUCAGGUGAAUGCACUGGACUUUUUGAGAUCGGGGCCACCAACGGCAUAUGCCAAGGGCGUCCAUUGACAACCCGCCCAAGAUCUGGAUUCACCGAGGAGUACAACCGGACUUGUGGUCAGCUGCCUGCUGUGGUGUUGAUGGCGGGUCUUCCGAAUCGCUUCCUCAGCCUAACAACGCAGCCUACAAACUAACUGUUAUCAACAUCAGUAAUGAUGCCGGCCCUUCGCACCGUUGCAUGAAUGCCAAGAAAAACAAGAAAAAGGAGCAUGCAUCGCAUGGUACAAAACCAUGUACCAUUACCAUUGUAAUGCCAUUAUUCCGAAUUUCAUUUGCCUUCCUAUUCAUACUAAUCUUUCAAACCCUCUUCAUGAUUAUCAUCAUACAACACCUACAACUAAAUUUAUAAAACCGAAGAAGGCUGAACACAAGGCCUACAUAACCCGUAUGAUCAAGCAAUGUUUUCAUUUACUCUACUAAUACCAGUAAAUGCAUAUGCUUACACCAACCAUUUUAUAUACCAUUGCAUAGGGGCACCCGACACUAUCUACUUUCUAAGCUUUGAUGGUCAUUGAUGGGGAAACAAAGUGAGGCUAUACAGGAAGCGGCUCACAUGUUUGCCACUCAAAGAAUGCCAAGACCCUAUACACAUCACCUGCAAUUAUAUAUACAAUUCUUCUUAGUGUUGUUACCUUUCAUUUCCAAUAUUUCUUUUCUCAGUGUUGUUACCUUUCAUUUACAGUAUUUCUUAGUCAAUUUUACCAAGAAAUAUCUUCACCAUUGUAUUGACCCAAAGCUUUAUGACUUGCCAAUAAAAUCUAGAGAUGGAAAUCCCUACAUCAAAGCCCGUCUAAUCAAAGGAGUCGAUAACAGGGCAACAAUUACCAGAGGCUGGGCUGGCUUCUUCCCCGCAGCUAAUACGAAGGAAAGAGAAAUAUAUGCCUUCGCCUUCAAGUGCAACCACAAGCACCUGCGUCUCACCGUGCACGCCCUCUGAGCAUCGUGUUCAGUCUAAUAAACUACUUAAUUAGCCUAUGAAGUUCUGUGUGUAUAGCGUCACCGUAAGAAGCUUUUGGCACUGGACUCUUUGGUUAUCUUGUUCAGUCUACUAAACUACCUAAAUAGCCUAUGAAGCUCUGUCUGUAUAGCUUCACCCUCAGAACCUGUUUGCUUUUGGCACCACUCUCUGCUUUUGGCGCUAGUCUCUGAUAUGUAUAAAUUUGGAAUCCAUGAUGCUAUGUUUGAUCCGUGUAAUAUUCUCCAGCUGCGUCUAAACCCUGCUGUUUAAUGCAAAUAUUUUCUUAUAUUUAGGUGACAA
Non-coding RNA from Aegilops tauschii subsp. strangulata, 3441 nucleotides. The record is from RefSeq and is a predicted model, not a curated record. Lineage: Eukaryota; Viridiplantae; Streptophyta; Magnoliopsida; Poales; Poaceae.